AACGCGUGAGAAUCUGCCCUUAGGAGGGGGACAACAGUUGGAAACGACUGCUAAUACCCCAUAUGCCGAGAGGUGAAACAUUAAUGGCCUGAGGAGGAGCUCGCGUCUGAUUAGCUAGUUGGUGGGGUAACGGCCUACCAAGGCGACGAUCAGUAGCUGGUCUGAGAGGAUGAUCAGCCACACUGGGACUGAGACACGGCCCAGACUCCUACGGGAGGCAGCAGUGGGGAAUUUUCCGCAAUGGGCGAAAGCCUGACGGAGCAAGACCGCGUGAGGGAGGAAGGUCUGUGGAUUGUAAACCUCUUUUCUCAGGGAAGAAGAACUGACGGUACCUGAGGAAUCAGCAUCGGCUAACUCCGUGCCAGCAGCCGCGGUAAUACGGAGGAUGCAAGCGUUAUCCGGAAUUAUUGGGCGUAAAGCGUCCGUAGGUGGCUAAGCAAGUCUGCUGUUAAAGAGCGGAGCUAAACUCCGUAAAGGCGGUGGAAACUGCAUAGCUAGAGUGUGGUAGGGGUAGAGGGAAUUCCCAGUGUAGCGGUGAAAUGCGUAGAUAUUGGGAAGAACACCGGUGGCGAAGGCGCUCUACUGGGCCACAACUGACACUGAUGGACGAAAGCUAGGGGAGCGAAAGGGAUUAGAU
This 637-nucleotide ribosomal RNA is filed under the name Lyngbya sp. CY-021. RNAcentral's name for it is "bacterial SSU rRNA". It matches the Rfam family "Bacterial small subunit ribosomal RNA", at positions 112 to 783 of the family's 1533-position model. The record is from RNAcentral. Lineage: Bacteria; Bacillati; Cyanobacteriota; Cyanophyceae; Oscillatoriales; Microcoleaceae.